CCUACGGGAGGCAGCAGUGGGGGAUAUUGCACAAUGGGGGAAACCCUGAUGCAGCGACGCCGCGUGGGCGAAGAAGUAUUUCGGUAUGUAAAGCCCUAUCAGCAGGGAAGAAGAAAUGACGGUACCUGAGUAAGAAGCACCGGCUAAAUACGUGCCAGCAGCCGCGGUAAUACGUAUGGUGCAAGCGUUAUCCGGAUUUACUGGGUGGAAAGGGAGCGCAGGCGGCACGGCAAGCCUGAUGUGAAAGCCCGCGGCCCAACCGCGGGACUGCAUUGGGAACUACCGGGCUGGAGUGACGGAGAGGUAGGCGGAAUUCCUAGUGUAGCGGUGAAAUGCGUAGAUAUUAGGAGGAACACCAGUGGCGAAGGCGGCCUACUGGACGGUGACUGACGCUGAGGCUCGAAAGCGUGGGGAGCAAACAGGAUUAGAUACCCCAGUAGUC
RNAcentral lists this ribosomal RNA (442 nucleotides) under uncultured bacterium. Its description in RNAcentral is "partial 16S ribosomal RNA". It matches the Rfam family "Bacterial small subunit ribosomal RNA", at positions 338 to 795 of the family's 1533-position model. The record is from RNAcentral.